Molecule: ribosomal RNA, 208 nt
Filed under: uncultured bacterium
Lineage: Bacteria
Description: partial 16S ribosomal RNA
Rfam family: Bacterial small subunit ribosomal RNA
Source: RNAcentral
CACGUAGGCGGAUUAUUAAGUCGGGGGUGAAAUCCCGAGGCUCAACCUCGGAACUGCCUUCGAUACUGGUAAUCUUCGAGUCCGGGAGAGGUGAGUGGAACUCCGAGUGUAGAGGUGAAAUUCGUAGAUAUCAAGCGGAACACCGGUGGCGAAGGCGGCCUUCUGGACAGUGACUGACGCUGAGACCCGAAAGCGUGGGGAGCAAACA